CUACACUGAAAAUCAUUCUCUCUCGGAACUUUGGAAGUUUUCCUUCCCUAACAUCUGCUGCCUGUAAGAAAACUGCUGCUAAUGCCGCUUUUAUUUACAGAAAUAAUGGAGGUAAGAAGAGAGAAAGAGGAAAACAAAACAGGUUCUGGAUGUUAUCUUCCAUCCAGACAUAGUCAGAAGUACUGGUGGGGAGAGGCUGUCGAUGAUAGGUAGAAGACAGUACAUAAAGAACUAUGUGCUGGGCAAUUUCUUCUGGAGCUGCACUUCCAGUAAGAGAAGCUACUGGGCACAUCUGGCUACUAAAUGUGUGACAUGUGGCUCAUCAAAGCCAAGAACUCUGGACAAGAAAAAUGACUGACAUCUUCCUACCAAACAGCAGUAAUGUCUAAUCCUAUCAUGGUCACUGCAAAACCAAAUCCAUCCAUUAAAUGCAACAAAGUCAAGAACCUAGAAGAUAUUUUCUACUAAUUAUUUGC
This is a long non-coding RNA of Canis lupus familiaris (dog), 476 nucleotides long. RefSeq lists it as uncharacterized. Lineage: Eukaryota; Metazoa; Chordata; Mammalia; Carnivora; Canidae. The record is from RefSeq and is a predicted model, not a curated record. The transcript is spliced from 3 exons.